CCCGAUGAACCUGAAUAUCCGUUAUGGAAAAUUCAUCAUUAAUAUUAUUAUAUAUAAAAAUAUAAUAAAAAUAGUGUGCAAUUUUUCCAUAUAAGGACAUUGUAAUUUGUUAAUGUGUUAAAUAUUUAUCAAAAAAUUUAAAACAUAAGUUUAUUCAAAUUAGUUAUUUUCGAAUUUCUAACAUAGAAUAAAUGUAUUAAAUUCGAUAAAUCAUUGACAGAUUUUAUUAUAUAUAAUGCUUAAAUUCUUUUUGAAUUUUAUAAUUAUUUUUAUUAAUUAAUAAUAAUUAUAUGCAUUUAUAUGAUUAACAAUGCGAUAGAUUCAGGAUACCUUCGGGACCCGUCUUGAAACACGGACCAAGGAGUCUAACAUAUGUGCAAGUCAUUGGGUAUUUUUAAUAAAACCCAAUGGCAUAAUUAACUUAACUGUUAUUUAAUGGGAUUAGUUUGUAUAUUAUUAUGAUAUAUAAAUUCAAUCCCGGGGCGUUCUAUAUAGUUAUGCAUAAUAAUAUUUAUAUUAUUUAUGCCUCUAACUAGAGCGUACCUUGAGCAUAUAUGCUGUGACCC
Molecule: ribosomal RNA, 566 nt
Filed under: Heringia heringi
Lineage: Eukaryota; Metazoa; Arthropoda; Insecta; Diptera; Syrphidae
Description: eukaryotic LSU rRNA
Source: RNAcentral